CAGUCGCCGCGGGAAAACGAAGGGUGCAAGCGUUAAUCGGAAUUAUUGGGCGUAAAGGGCUCGCAGGCGGUUUCUUAAGUCUGAUGUGAAAGCCCCCGGCUCAACCGGGGAGGGUCAUUGGAAACUGGGAAACUUGAGUGCAGAAGAGGAGAGUGGAAUUCCACGUGUAGCGGUGAAAUGCGUAGAGAUCGGAAGGAACAUCUGUGGCGAAGGCGACUAUCUGGGCCAACACUGACACUGAGGCACGAAAGCGUGGGGAGCAAACAGGAUUAGAUACCCCCGUAGUCCCUGUCUCUUAUAC
RNAcentral lists this ribosomal RNA (301 nucleotides) under uncultured bacterium. RNAcentral describes it as "partial 16S ribosomal RNA". It matches the Rfam family "Bacterial small subunit ribosomal RNA", at positions 509 to 807 of the family's 1533-position model. The record is from RNAcentral.